This 471-nucleotide ribosomal RNA is filed under the name uncultured organism. RNAcentral's name for it is "partial 16S ribosomal RNA". It matches the Rfam family "Bacterial small subunit ribosomal RNA", at positions 335 to 797 of the family's 1533-position model. The record is from RNAcentral.
ACUCCUACGGGAGGCAGCAGUGGGGAAUAUUGCACAAUGGGCGCAAGCCUGAUGCAGCCAUGCCGCGUGUAUGAAGAAGGCCUUCGGGUUGUAAAGUACUUUCAGCGGGGAGGAAGGCAAUACGGUUAAUAACCGUGUUGAUUGACGUUACCCGCAGAAGAAGCACCGGCUAACUCCGUGCCAGCAGCCGCGGUAAUACGGAGGGUGCAAGCGUUAUUCGGAAUUACUGGGCGUAAAGCGCACGCAGGCGGUCUGUCAAGUCGGAUGUGAAAUCCCCGGGCUCAACCUGGGAACUGCAUUCGAAACUGGCAGGCUUGAGUCUUGUAGAGGGGGGUAGAAUUCCAGGUGUAGCGGUGAAAUGCGUAGAGAUCUGGAGGAAUACCGGUGGCGAAGGCGGCCCCCUGGACAAAGACUGACGCUCAGGUGCGAAAGCGUGGGGAGCAAACAGGAUUAGAUACCCCUGUAGUCCCA